RNAcentral lists this ribosomal RNA (253 nucleotides) under uncultured bacterium. Its description in RNAcentral is "partial 16S ribosomal RNA". It matches the Rfam family "Bacterial small subunit ribosomal RNA", at positions 524 to 776 of the family's 1533-position model. The record is from RNAcentral.
UACGUAGGGUGCGGGCGUUAAUCGGAAUUACUGGGCGUAAAGCGUGCGCAGGCGGUUUUGUAAGCCAGAUGUGAAAUCCCCGGGCUUAACCUGGGAAUGGCAUUUGGGACUGCAAGGCUGGAGUGUGGCAGAGGAGACUGGAAUUCCUGGUGUAGCAGUGAAAUGCGUAGAUAUCAGGAGGAAUACCGAUGGCGAAGGCAGGUCUCUGGGCUGACACUGACGCUCAUGCACGAAAGCGUGAGGAGCAAACAGG